GUGAGGAAUAUUGGUCAAUGGACGAGAGUCUGAACCAGCCAAGUCGCGUGAAGGAAGACGGUUCUAUGAAUUGUAAACUUCUUUUGUGCAGGAAUAAAGUGGGUUACGUGUAACCUUUUGUAUGUACUGUACGAAUAAGGAUCGGCUAACUCCGUGCCAGCAGCCGCGGUAAUACGGAGGAUCCGAGCGUUAUCCGGAUUUAUUGGGUUUAAAGGGUGCGUAGGUGGAUUGAUAAGUCAGCGGUGAAAGUUUGCAGCUUAACUGUAAAAUUGCCGUUGAAACUGUCGGUCUUGAGUGCAAAUGAGGUAGGCGGAAUGUGUUGUGUAGCGGUGAAAUGCUUAGAUAUAACACAGAACUCCGAUUGCGAAGGCAGCUUACUGGGAUGCAACUGACGCUCAUGCACGAAAGCGUGGGGAUCAAACAGGAUUAGAAACCCGGGUAGUCC
Molecule: ribosomal RNA, 445 nt
Filed under: uncultured bacterium
Lineage: Bacteria
Description: partial 16S ribosomal RNA
Rfam family: Bacterial small subunit ribosomal RNA
Source: RNAcentral